RNAcentral lists this non-coding RNA (25 nucleotides) under Rattus norvegicus (Norway rat). Lineage: Eukaryota; Metazoa; Chordata; Mammalia; Rodentia; Muridae. The record is from RNAcentral.
UUCCAAGUGGCAGUUCCCCAUUGGC